Molecule: ribosomal RNA, 493 nt
Filed under: uncultured bacterium
Lineage: Bacteria
Description: partial 16S ribosomal RNA
Rfam family: Bacterial small subunit ribosomal RNA
Source: RNAcentral
AUUGAACGCUGGCGGCAUGCUUUACACAUGCAAGUCGAACGGUAACAGGUUAAGCUGACGAGUGGCGAACGGGUGAGUAAUGCAUCGGAACGUGCCCGAUCGUGGGGGAUAACGCAGCGAAAGCUGCGCUAAUACCGCAUACGAUCUGAGGAUGAAAGCGGGGGACCGUAAGGCCUCGCGCGAUCGGAGCGGCCGAUGUCAGAUUAGGUAGUUGGUGGGGUAAAGGCCCACCAAGCCGACGAUCUGUAGCUGGUCUGAGAGGACGACCAGCCACACUGGGACGGAGACACGGCCCAGACUCCUACGGGAGGCAGCAGUGGGGAAUUUUGGACAAUGGGCGAAAGCCUGAUCCAGCAAUGCCGCGUGCAGGAAGAAGGCCUUCGGGUUGUAAACUGCUUUUGUACGGAGCGAAAAGGCCCUUUCUAAUACAAGGGGCUCAUGACGGUACCGUAAGAAUAAGCACCGGCUAACUACGUGCCAGCAGCCGCGGUAA